This 449-nucleotide small RNA is filed under the name Histoplasma capsulatum var. duboisii H88. RNAcentral's name for it is "Histoplasma capsulatum H88 hypothetical RNA". The record is from RNAcentral. Lineage: Eukaryota; Fungi; Ascomycota; Eurotiomycetes; Onygenales; Ajellomycetaceae.
CACCAGCUCACAUGGCCACACACUCUGACAAAAAACUGCUUUCUCACAAUUCCACCCCACAAUUGUAAUCCCCAAGGUACUUCCACUCCGCGCAUCGGCAAGGCGCAACCGUUGAUCUUUUUCCAAUUUGAUCCUUCUAUCUCUUACCCCUUCUUUUGAUUCCUUUUCCUUUUUUCCUUUCUCAGUCAACUCGUAAUCUGUAUAUAGGAUAGGACGAGGGCCGUGAAUCGGUAGUACGCGCUUGACAAAUUUCAAGUAUACAACAAGCUGCAGUAAAACCUUUAGUUAUAAUAACUAGCGAUUUCUCAUUUCACACUUCCUUAUCAUAUAUAUAUUAAUAAUUGUAUUUGCGAGCUUCUUAUAAUUGGCUUCAUACCCCCCAUUCCUGCAGCUCUCCUUUAUCAAAUCUAUUAGCAAUCUCUAGCCUUCUACACCCCCUUCUCAAGGUC